GAUGAACGCUGGCGGCGUGCCUAACACAUGCAAGUCGAACGAAGCACUUCGAUUUCCUCGGAAUGAAAAAGUGACUGAGUGGCGGACGGGUGAGUAACGCGUGGGUAACCUGCCUCAUACAGGGGGAUAACAGUUAGAAAUGACUGCUAAUACCGCAUAAGCGCACAGUACCGCAUGGUACGGUGUGAAAAACUCCGGUGGUAUGAGAUGGACCCGCGUCUGAUUAGCUAGUUGGUGGGGUAACGGCCUACCAAGGCGACGAUCAGUAGCCGACCUGAGAGGGUGACCGGCCACAUUGGGACUGAGACACGGCCCAAACUCCUACGGGAGGCAGCAGUGGGGAAUAUUGCACAAUGGGCGAAAGCCUGAUGCAGCGACGCCGCGUGAGUGAAGAAGUAUUUCGGUAUGUAAAGCUCUAUCAGCAGGGAAGAAAAUGACGGUACCUGACUAAGAAGCACCGGCUAAAUACGUG
Molecule: ribosomal RNA, 472 nt
Filed under: uncultured bacterium
Lineage: Bacteria
Description: bacterial SSU rRNA
Rfam family: Bacterial small subunit ribosomal RNA
Source: RNAcentral